RNAcentral lists this ribosomal RNA (253 nucleotides) under uncultured bacterium. RNAcentral's name for it is "partial 16S ribosomal RNA". It matches the Rfam family "Bacterial small subunit ribosomal RNA", at positions 524 to 776 of the family's 1533-position model. The record is from RNAcentral.
UACGAAGGGGGCUAGCGUUGUUCGGAUUUACUGGGCGUAAAGCGCACGUAGGCGGAUUGAUCAGUCAGGGGUGAAAUCCUGGAGCUCAACUCCAGAACUGCCUUUGAUACUGAGGAUCUUGAGUACGGGAGAGGUGAGUGGAACUGCGAGUGUAGAGGUGAAAUUCGUAGAUAUUCGCAAGAACACCAGUGGCGAAGGCGGCCCACUGGCCCGUUACUGACGCUGAGGCACGAAAGCGUGGGGAGCAAACAGG